GUUCCUACGGGAGGCAGCAUCCUAGGAAUAUUGGUCAAUGGGGGAUAUCCUGAACCAGCCAAGUCGUCGUGAUCCAACAAGGAUCUAUGGUUCGUAAACGUCUUCGGCAGGGGAAUAAAUUUCAGGACGUGUCAAGUUUAGUACGGACCCAACGAAAGAAGAUAGGGUAAAACCGGGCCCGCCGGCGCGGUUAUACGGUGGGUCGCAAGGUUUUUCGGGUUUUUUGGGUUUAAAAGGGGGGUUGGGGGUUUGAUUAAUUAGGGGGGAAAAAUGCGAGGUUAACCGUAAAAAUGCCGUUGAAACUGUCGGACUAGAGUAUAGGAGAAGAGGCGGAACUCCAAGUGAGCGGGAAAAGCAGAAGUAUCACGCAGAACUCCGAU
RNAcentral lists this ribosomal RNA (380 nucleotides) under uncultured bacterium. RNAcentral's name for it is "partial 16S ribosomal RNA". It matches the Rfam family "Bacterial small subunit ribosomal RNA", at positions 335 to 713 of the family's 1533-position model. The record is from RNAcentral.